Molecule: ribosomal RNA, 384 nt
Filed under: Triticum aestivum (bread wheat)
Lineage: Eukaryota; Viridiplantae; Streptophyta; Magnoliopsida; Poales; Poaceae
Description: partial small subunit ribosomal RNA
Source: RNAcentral
AUGACGGUUGACAAGGAAAAACAUGAUGCUAAGAAAAUCACAGACGACUCAAAUGAGGAUGGAGCAGAAACUGAACAAAAGGGCACAAUGGAGAAAGGGGGCAAAGAUAGUGAUUCCGUCAACAAAGCCAUCGAAGACAUGUACAACGUUGUAUACAAGCCAUGGACACAGAGAGAAAUGGAUGAGCUUUUCAUUACAACGGACAAGUUUGAUGUCAAUCUAGGCCAUAUCGCCGAAAGCUUCAAGGUCGGUAAAUCAGUACGCACCGAAGCAAUCGAGCCCAUGCUAACAAUCUUGAGAAGACAACUCAAUGGCACAGGGAGAAAGAUUCUGUCGUUAAGCAACACAAUAAUUCCUUCUACCAUGUUCGUUUCGCGGGUUUGA